CGUGUAGGUGGCUAAUUAAGUCAGGUGUGAAAUCCUUCCGCUUAACGGGAGAAGUGCACUUGAAACUGCUUAGCUAGAGUACGGGAGAGGAAGGUGGAAUUCCUGGUGUAGAGGUGAAAUUCAUAGAUAUCGGGAAGAACACCGGUGGCGAAGGCGGCCUUCUGGCCCGAUACUGACGCUGAGACGCGAAAGCGUGGGGAGCAAACA
Molecule: ribosomal RNA, 207 nt
Filed under: uncultured bacterium
Lineage: Bacteria
Description: partial 16S ribosomal RNA
Rfam family: Bacterial small subunit ribosomal RNA
Source: RNAcentral